CAAUUGCUGCACUCUCCCUCUUCCAAGCAAAUAGAUUCUCUCUCUGCACUACGCAGCAGCUGCCUGAGGAUGGGGAGGAGUGGCAUUAGCAAUUCGAGACUGUCUUUUUUACCUCUUCAAUGCCUCUUGCAGCGAUAUGAAAUUAAAACCAGCUUUUGUCACCAUCACAAACUUCUGCAGCCUUGGCCACUGAGGCAAUCACAGGCAUCACUGAUGAGGAUGAUAGCUGAAGAAACUGCAACUGCAUAAAGAUCACAUCACUGAAUCUACCCAGAACUACAGCCAAUGCAUGAUACCCACUUGACAACCUAGGACCUCUCUACAAGAAAAAGUCUUUCUCUAUGAAAGAUAAUUCAUAAAAUUUUAAAAAGUAACUCUUCUACUAGAUGCACAGAUAUUAAUGUAGGAACCCAAAAACCAUAAAAAGCAAGGAAAUAUGACACCUUCAGAGGAUUAUGUCUCUAAUCAAAGACCCUGAAGUGAAAGAUAUUUAUAAAAUGCCUGAAAAGAAAUUCAAAAUAAUGCUCUUAAGGAAACUCAGUGAAAUACAAGAUAAUACAGGUAGACAAUUCAAUAAAAUAUGGAAGACAA
This is a long non-coding RNA of Homo sapiens (human), 591 nucleotides long. RefSeq lists it as uncharacterized. The transcript is spliced from 2 exons. The record is from RefSeq and is a predicted model, not a curated record. NCBI's taxonomy places the organism in Eukaryota, Metazoa, Chordata, Mammalia, Primates, Hominidae.